CCAGAGUCCUACGGGAGGCAGCAGUAGGGAAUCUUCGGCAAUGGACGAAAGUCUGACCGAGCAACGCCGCGUGAGUGAAGAAGGUUUUCGGAUCGUAAAACUCUGUUGGUAGAGAAGAACGUUGGUGAGAGUGGAAAGCUCAUCAAGUGACGGUAACUACCCAGAAAGGGACGGCUAACUACGUGCCAGCAGCCGCGGUAAUACGUAGGUCCCGAGCGUUGUCCGGAUUUAUUGGGCGUAAAGCGAGCGCAGGUGGUUUAUUAAGUCUGGUGUAAAAGGCAGUGGCUCAACCAUUGUAUGCAUUGGAAACUGGUAGACUUGAGUGCAGGAGAGGAGAGUGGAAUUCCAUGUGUAGCGGUGAAAUGCGUAGAUAUAUGGAGGAACACCGGUGGCGAAAGCGGCUCUCUGGCCUGUAACUGACACUGAGGCUCGAAAGCGUGGGGAGCAAACAGGAUUAGAUACCCUGGUAGUCCACGCCGUAAACGAUGAGUGCUAGAUGUAGGGAGCUAUAAGUUCUCUGUAUCGCAGCUAACGCAAUAAGCACUCCGCCUGGGGAGUACGACCGCAAGGUUGAAACUCAAAGGAAUUGACGGGGGCCCGCACAAG
Molecule: ribosomal RNA, 606 nt
Filed under: uncultured bacterium
Lineage: Bacteria
Description: bacterial SSU rRNA
Rfam family: Bacterial small subunit ribosomal RNA
Source: RNAcentral